RNAcentral lists this ribosomal RNA (253 nucleotides) under uncultured bacterium. RNAcentral describes it as "partial 16S ribosomal RNA". It matches the Rfam family "Bacterial small subunit ribosomal RNA", at positions 524 to 776 of the family's 1533-position model. The record is from RNAcentral.
GACGGGGGGUCCUAGCGUUGUUCGGAAUCAUUGGGCGUAAAGCGUGUGCAGGUGGUUUUGUAAGUUAGAUGUGAAAUCCUUGGGCUUAACCCAAGAAGUGCAUUUAAAACUGCUAAACUUGAGUAAGGAAGAGGGUCGUGGAAUUCCUGGUGUAGUGGUGAAAUACGUAGAUAUCGGGAGGAACACCAGUGGCGAAGGCGACUACCUGGCCCAUUCUUGACGCUGAGGCGCGAAAGCUAGGGGAGCGAACGGG